CAAAAAGACAGUCUCAGUUCAGAUUGUAGGCUGAAACUCGCCUAUAUGAAGUCGGAAUUGCUAGUAAUCGCAGAUCAGCAUGCUGCGGUGAAUACGUUCCCGGGCCUUGUACACACCGCCCGUCACACCAUGAGAGUCGAUAACACCCGAAGCCUGUAGUCCAACCUCGUGAGGACGCUGCCGAAGGUAGGAUUGGCGACUGGGGUGAAGUCGUAACAAGGUAUC
This 225-nucleotide ribosomal RNA is filed under the name uncultured bacterium. RNAcentral's name for it is "partial 16S ribosomal RNA". It matches the Rfam family "Bacterial small subunit ribosomal RNA", at positions 1275 to 1500 of the family's 1533-position model. The record is from RNAcentral.